This 257-nucleotide long non-coding RNA is filed under the name Callithrix jacchus (white-tufted-ear marmoset). RNAcentral's name for it is "lncRNA (ENSCJAG00000082503.1)". Lineage: Eukaryota; Metazoa; Chordata; Mammalia; Primates; Cebidae. The record is from RNAcentral.
UCUUGUAUUGCCCAUGUAAGAUUCCCCAAGUCCCUCAUCGUACAGACCCAAGAAGGAAGCGUGUAAAAACAGCCAAGUCGGCCUCCAGCAAGCCAGGAGGAACACUACGUGCUCUCAAUGCCCAAUUCGCAGUUCUGCUACAUUGUUCAUGAACCCAGUGAAAGAUGUUCACAGUGGUAAGUAACACUUUAUUUCAGGAAGAAAAAACGCAGCGUGACUUCCUUGAGUAAGUAACAGAAUCAGUGUGUGGUGCACUG